RNAcentral lists this ribosomal RNA (253 nucleotides) under uncultured bacterium. RNAcentral describes it as "partial 16S ribosomal RNA". It matches the Rfam family "Bacterial small subunit ribosomal RNA", at positions 524 to 776 of the family's 1533-position model. The record is from RNAcentral.
UACGGAGGGUGCAAGCGUUAUCCGGAUUCACUGGGUUUAAAGGGUGCGUAGGCGGGCAGGUAAGUCCGUGGUGAAAUCUCUGAGCUUAACUCAGAAACUGCCAUGGAUACUAUUUGUCUUGAAUAUUGUGGAGGUGAGCGGAAUAUGUCAUGUAGCGGUGAAAUGUUUAGAUAUGACAUAGAACACCAAUUGCGAAGGCAGCUCACUACACAGUUAUUGACGCUGAGGCACGAAAGCGUGGGGAUCAAACAGG